Molecule: ribosomal RNA, 250 nt
Filed under: uncultured Bradyrhizobium sp.
Lineage: Bacteria; Pseudomonadati; Pseudomonadota; Alphaproteobacteria; Hyphomicrobiales; Nitrobacteraceae
Description: partial 16S ribosomal RNA
Rfam family: Bacterial small subunit ribosomal RNA
Source: RNAcentral
CUUCGGAGCUAGUGGGCAGACGGGUGAGUAACGCGUGGGAACGUGCUUUCGGUUCGGAAUAACUCAGGGAAACUUGAACUAAUACCGGAUAGCCUCGGGGAAGAUUUAUCGCCGAAAGAUCGGCCCGCGUCUGAUUAGCUAGUUGGUGAGGUAAUGGCUCACCAAGGCGACGAUCAGUAGCUGGUCUGAGAGGAUGAUCAGCCACAUUGGGACUGAGACACGGCCCAAACUCCUACGGGAGGCAGCAGGG